RNAcentral lists this ribosomal RNA (253 nucleotides) under uncultured bacterium. Its description in RNAcentral is "partial 16S ribosomal RNA". It matches the Rfam family "Bacterial small subunit ribosomal RNA", at positions 524 to 776 of the family's 1533-position model. The record is from RNAcentral.
UACGAAGGGUCCAAGCGUUGUUCGGAUUUAUUGGGCGUAAAGCGCGCGCAGGCGGAUUAGUAAGUCAGAUGUGAAAUCUCAGGGCUCAACCCUGAAACUGCGUCUGAAACUACUAGUCUAGAGUGUUGGAGGGGGCAGGGGAAUUUCACGUGUAGGGGUAAAAUCCGUAGAGAUGUGAAGGAACACCGGAGGCGAAGGCGCCUGCCUAGACAACUACUGACGCUGAGGCGCGAAAGCGUGGGGAGCAAACAGG